RNAcentral lists this ribosomal RNA (922 nucleotides) under uncultured bacterium. RNAcentral describes it as "bacterial SSU rRNA". It matches the Rfam family "Bacterial small subunit ribosomal RNA", at positions 475 to 1401 of the family's 1533-position model. The record is from RNAcentral.
GUACUCGGAGAAUAAGCCACGGCUAACUACGUGCCAGCAGCCGCGGUAAUACGUAGGUGGCAAGCGUUAUCCGGAUUUACUGGGUGUAAAGGGCGAGUAGGCGGGAUAGCAAGUCAGAUGUGAAAUACCGGGGCUUAACCCCGGAGCUGCAUUUGAAACUGUUAUUCUUGAGUGGUGGAGAGGCAAGUGGAAUUCCCGGUGUAGCGGUGGAAUGCGUAGAUAUCGGGAGGAACACCAGUGGCGAAGGCGACUUGCUGGACACUAACUGACGCUGAGGAGCGAAAGCGUGGGGAGCAAACAGGAUUAGAUACCCUGGUAGUCCGCACAGUAAACGAUGGAUACCCGCAGUCGGCGACACAAUGUCGGCUGCCAAGCGAAAGCAUUAAGUAUCCCACCUGGGGAGUACGCCGGCAACGGUGAAACUCAAAGGAAUUGACGGGGGCCCGCACAAGCGGAGGAACAUGUGGUUUAAUUCGAUGAUACGCGAGGAACCUUACCCGGGCUUGAAUUGCAGGCGACGGGGCGAGAGAUUGCCCUUUCUUCGGACGCCUGUGAAGGUGCUGCAUGGUUGUCGUCAGCUCGUGCCGUGAGGUGUCGGCUCAAGUGCCAUAACGAGCGCAACCCCUGUCUCCAGUUGCCAUCAGGUGAUGCUGGGCACUCUGGAGAUACUGCCAUCGCAAGAUGUGAGGAAGGUGGGGAUGACGUCAAAUCAGCACGGCCCUUACGUCCGGGGCUACACACGUGUUACAAUGGGGGACACAGAGGGCCGCCACCGGGUGACCGGGCGCCAAUCCAUCAAAAUCCCUCUCAGUUCGGACUGGAGUCUGCAACCCGACUCCACGAAGCUGGAUUCGCUAGUAAUCGCGCAUCAGCCAUGGCGCGGUGAAUACGUUCCCGGGCCUUGCACACACCGCCCGUCAAG